UACCUUGAUGGCGACCGGCGCACGGGUGAGUAACGCGUAUGCAACCUGCCCGAUACCGGGGUAUAGCCCAUGGAAACGUGGAUUAACACCCCAUAGUACUUUUAUCCUGCCUGGGAUGGGAGUUAAAUGUUCAAGGUAUCGGAUGGGCAUGCGUCCUAUUAGUUAGUUGGCGGGGUAACGGCUCACCAAACCUUCGAUGGAUAGGGGUUCUGAGAGGAAGGUCCCCCACAUUGGAACUGAGACACGGUCCAA
Molecule: ribosomal RNA, 252 nt
Filed under: uncultured bacterium
Lineage: Bacteria
Description: partial 16S ribosomal RNA
Rfam family: Bacterial small subunit ribosomal RNA
Source: RNAcentral